GAUGAAGAACGUAGCGAAAUGCGAUACUUGGUGUGAAUUGCAGAAUCCCGUGAACCAUCGAGUCUUUGAACGCAAGUUGCGCCUCAAGCCAUUAGGUUGAGGGCACGUCUGCCUGGGCGUCACAUAUCGUUGCCUGAUGCCAGUUUUCUCGUGAUGGGUGACUGUGCAGGGCGAAUGAUGGCUUCCCGUGAGCAUUGUUGCCUCAUGGUUGGUUGAAAAUUGAGUCCUUGGUAGGGAGCGCCGUGAUAGAUGGUGGUUGAGUGACGAACGAGACCCAAUCAUGUGAGACCCCUACCGAAUUUGGCCUUCAUGACCCACAUGCGUCUUUGGAACGCUCAUGACGAGACCUCAGGUCAGGCGGGGCUACCCGCUGAGUUUAAGCAUAUCAAUAAGCGGAGGA
This 400-nucleotide unclassified non-coding RNA is filed under the name soil metagenome. Its description in RNAcentral is "partial contains 5.8S ribosomal RNA, internal transcribed spacer 2, and large subunit ribosomal RNA". The stretch from base 1 to 122 matches the Rfam family "5.8S ribosomal RNA", at positions 35 to 154 of the family's 154-position model. The record is from RNAcentral.